This 371-nucleotide ribosomal RNA is filed under the name uncultured bacterium. Its description in RNAcentral is "partial 16S ribosomal RNA". It matches the Rfam family "Bacterial small subunit ribosomal RNA", at positions 1 to 350 of the family's 1533-position model. The record is from RNAcentral.
GCCGCGAAUUCGCCCUUAGGGUUUGAUUAUGGCUCAGGACGAACGCUGGCGGCGUGCCUAAUACAUGCAAGUCGAGCGAUGAUUAAAGAUAGCUUGCUAUUUUUAUGAAGAGCGGCGAACGGGUGAGUAACGCGUGGGAAAUCUGCCGAGUAGCGGGGGACAACGUUUGGAAACGAACGCUAAUACCGCAUAACAAUGAGAAUCGCAUGAUUCUUAUUUAAAAGAAGCAAUUGCUUCACUACUUGAUGAUCCCGCGUUGUAUUAGCUAGUUGGUAGUGUAAAGGACUACCAAGGCGAUGAUACAUAGCCGACCUGAGAGGGUGAUCGGCCACACUGGGACUGAGACACGGCCCAGACUCCUACGGGAGGCA